Molecule: ribosomal RNA, 330 nt
Filed under: Aeromonas salmonicida subsp. salmonicida
Lineage: Bacteria; Pseudomonadati; Pseudomonadota; Gammaproteobacteria; Aeromonadales; Aeromonadaceae
Description: bacterial SSU rRNA
Rfam family: Bacterial small subunit ribosomal RNA
Source: RNAcentral
AAAUUGAAGAGUUUGAUCAUGGCUCAGAUUGAACGCUGGCGGCAGGCCUAACACAUGCAAGUCGAGCGGCAGCGGGAAAGUAGCUUUCUACUUUUGCCGGCGAGCGGCGGACGGGUGAGUAAUGCCUGGGGAUCUGCCCAGUCGAGGGGGAUAACAGUUGGAAACGACUGCUAAUACCGCAUACGCCCUACGGGGGAAAGGAGGGGACCUUCGGGCCUUUCGCGAUUGGAUGAACCCAGGUGGGAUUAGCUAGUUGGUGGGGUAAUGGCUCACCAAGGCGACGAUCCCUAGCUGGUCUGAGAGGAUGAUCAGCCACACUGGAACUGAGAC